This 253-nucleotide ribosomal RNA is filed under the name uncultured bacterium. RNAcentral describes it as "partial 16S ribosomal RNA". It matches the Rfam family "Bacterial small subunit ribosomal RNA", at positions 524 to 776 of the family's 1533-position model. The record is from RNAcentral.
UACGUAGGGUGCGAGCGUUGUCCGGAUUUAUUGGGCGUAAAGAGCUCGUAGGCGGUUUGUCGCGUCGGCCGUGAAAUCUCCACGCUUAACGUGGAGUGUGCGGUCGAUACGGGCAGACUUGAGUUCGGUAGGGGAGACUGGAAUUCCUGGUGUAGCGGUGAAAUGCGCAGAUAUCAGGAGGAACACCGGUGGCGAAGGCGGGUCUCUGGGCCGAUACUGACGCUGAGGAGCGAAAGCGUGGGUAGCAAACAGG